Aquila chrysaetos chrysaetos is the source of this 895-nucleotide long non-coding RNA. RefSeq lists it as uncharacterized. The transcript has 3 exons. The record is from RefSeq and is a predicted model, not a curated record. Lineage: Eukaryota; Metazoa; Chordata; Aves; Accipitriformes; Accipitridae.
UUCAAUUUCGUCAGUGACAGCUCUUCAUCUACACUUCUCCAGACCUGGUUUAUCUACAUCACAAAAGAUGUCUUCAGGAGGCCAGCUCAUGAGCAGUAGAUGCUCCUCACCCUGCGAGGUGACCUGCCCAGAGCCAUGCGCUAAUGCCUGGAGCCAGCCCUGCGUCACCUCCUGUGGGGACUCUCGUGCCGUGAUCUACCCACCGCCCGUGGUCAUCACCUUCCCAGGCCCCAUCCUCAGCUCCUGCCCUCAGGAGAGCUUCGUGGGCACCUCGUUCCCAUCACCCAUUGGGGGGUUUUCAGGGCCAAUGGGCUCUGUUGAAUCAGGGGGUUCAUUUGGUUCUGGGGGUUCAUAUGGAGGAAGCGGUUCAUUAGGGAUGGGUGGCUCAUAUGGUGGGGGCAGUUCCCUGGGGAUGGGGGGCUCGUACGGAGGGGGUAGUUCAUUUGGCUCUGGGGGCUCAUAUGGAGGAAGCAGGUCAUUUGGGAGCUCAUACAGAGGUGGAAGAUCCUUUGGCUCCAGCUCCUACGGUGGGGGCUUUGGGGGCUCCUGUGGAGGAGGCAGCUCCUAUGGUGGGGGCUCCUUGGGAGGAGGCCGGUGCUUUGGUGGGGGGAGCUCUCAGAGUGGUGGGGGCUACUCUAGUUACAGGAGAUUUGGCGGAGGAAGCUGUAGCUCCGGUUGUUUCUGAAGGGGCAACGUCUCCUGCUCCAGCAGCCCUGGGCUGUGCUAGCCUGGCAGGGGAAGCUGCAACCCGGUGAUGGCCAAGUGAUCGACUUUGCUGGCAUGCGUGGAGCUGCAUCACCUCCCAAAGCCCAGGGAAAUGUCCUUUGUGCUCUGCGUGACUGUCUUCACCACAUAUCCUGUGCUUCCCUGUCAUUAAAGCUAUGUUGCAUCAGUA